UGGCUAAGUUAGUCCCCUGUUAAAUCCACCGAAUUAAUCGUUGGAUUGCGGGGGAAACUGCUUGGCUAGGGGACGAGAGAGGCAGACGGUAUUUCCGGGGUAGGGGUGAAAUCCUAUAAUCCCGGGAAGACCACCAGUGGCGAAGGCUGUCUGCUAGAACGCGCCCGACGGUGAGGGAUGAAAGCUGGGGGAGCGAACCGGAUUAGAUACCCGGGUAGUCCCAGUUGUAAACGAUGCAGGCUAGGUGUUUGGACGGCCACGUGCCGUUCUAGUGCCGCAGGGAAGCUGUUAAGCCUGCCGCCUGGGGAGUACGAUCGCAAGAUUGAAACUUAAAGGAAUUGGCGGGGGAGCACCACAAGGGGUGAAGCUUGCGGUUUAAUUGGAGUCAACGCCGGAAAUCUCGCCGGGAGCGACAGCAGUGUGAAGGCCAGAUUAAAGGUCUUGCCAGACGAGCUGAGAGGAGGUGCAUGGCCGUCGCCAGUUCGUGCCGUGAGGUGUCCUGUUAAGUCAGGCAACGAUCGAGACCCGCGUCCUCUGUUGCAACUAGCCUUGUGCUGGGCACACUGAGGAGACCGCCACUGAUAAAGUGGAGGAAGGAGCGGGCCACGGCAGGUCCGCAUGCC
Molecule: ribosomal RNA, 623 nt
Filed under: uncultured archaeon
Lineage: Archaea
Description: bacterial SSU rRNA
Rfam family: Archaeal small subunit ribosomal RNA
Source: RNAcentral